RNAcentral lists this ribosomal RNA (253 nucleotides) under uncultured bacterium. Its description in RNAcentral is "partial 16S ribosomal RNA". It matches the Rfam family "Bacterial small subunit ribosomal RNA", at positions 524 to 776 of the family's 1533-position model. The record is from RNAcentral.
UACGAAGGGGGCAAGCGUUGUUCGGAAUUACUGGGCGUAAAGGGCGCGUAGGCGGCUUACCAAGUCAGGCGUGAAAUUCCCGGGCUCAACCUGGGGGCUGCGCUUGAUACUGGUGAGCUUGAAUGCGGGAGAGGAUAGUGGAAUUCCCAGUGUAGAGGUGAAAUUCGUAGAUAUUGGGAAGAACACCGGUGGCGAAGGCGGCUAUCUGGCCCGUAAUUGACGCUGAGGCGCGAAAGCGUGGGGAGCAAACAGG